GCGCACCAGGCGAGAAACUUCACACUGUGCGAAAGCACGAUGAGGGAAUCCCAAGUGCUUGCACGUAAGUGUAAGCUGUUUCUCUGUCUAAAACGCAGAGAGUAAGGGCUGGGUAAGACGGGUGCCAGCCGCCGCGGUAAUACCUGCAGCUCAAGUGGUGACCGUUAUUAUUGGGCCUAAAACGUCCGUAGCCGGUUUAAUAAAUGCCUGGGUAAAUUGUGUAGCUUAACUAUACGAAUUCCGGGUAGACUGUUAAACUUGAGACCGGGAGAAGUUAGAGGUACUCCUGGGGUAGAGGUGAAAUUCUGUAAUCCUAGGGGGACCACCAGUGGCGAAGGCGUCUAACUAGAACGGGUCUGACGGUGAGGGACGAAGCCCUGGGGCGCAAACGGGAUUAGAUGCCCGCGUAGUCC
Molecule: ribosomal RNA, 413 nt
Filed under: uncultured microorganism
Description: bacterial SSU rRNA
Rfam family: Archaeal small subunit ribosomal RNA
Source: RNAcentral